GGGGAACCUUAAUGUGGCUGAGGAGCUGCGGGUGUCACAGGCAUGAAAACAGCAUCUUCUUCUUCUUCUGCCUCCUCUUCCUCCCACUGAAGUGUUGCUCCCUCUCCUCUAUCUGCUGAGUCAAAUCCCAAAUUUCAGAGAGUGCUACAGGAAGCAGAGCUGACGCAUCCAGUCUGCUCGGCGGUGCAGCGUCGGCAUGAGCGUGCGCGCAUGUUUGUUGUGAGGGAGUGUUUUCCUCACUCAAAAGUAGAAUCAGCGGCAGGUUAAUCGAAUCACGUCCGCUCCUGGAAGAUGAGCGGGCAUCGACCAGCUGAUAGAAGUUCAUGGCGGAAUUCAGAGGAGACGCGUUGCCGUGUGGACUUCAGCUCCCCGCAACCACAUCAGGAGAGCGCGAGACAAUGACACCUCCGAUGAGACGCCUAGAACCCCAACGUCAACCAGGACAGCAUGUUUCUGACAACCUUGCACUGAUCUGUCCAUUAAUUUCUCUCUUCUCACCAAGGCUGACUUCUCCAGGCAGCCUGGAUGUCAUGGUGCAGCUCAUUAGAGCGUGUACAAGCUGAGGUCGUCGUUGUCGCGACAUCGUGACCACUUCAAUAGGCCAUUAAGGGAACGGAGAAGCUCUGGUUAAUUUGUCGGAGAAAAUGCGAACCGUCCACGAUCUCUCGAUUAUAUAACCCCCCAGAGGAUGGCUGUGUAAUGCAUUUUAAAGCCAUAUCGCUCGUCAACUUUGCUACACAUCUCAGAACCUUCCUCAUCCGGUGGCAGAUGUUUAUAAGUUAUUUAUACACCGUCUGCUGCCAUCAGAAUUCUCCCCAUAUGCUUUCAUGAAUCCAAGAGCCUGACCCCCAACUCACAACACAGGCAAGGAACCCCCCCCUUUAACAGGAAGAAACCUUGAGCAGAACCAGGCUCAUACGACCCUGCUGCUGAUGUCCGCUGGAUAAAGGAGGACAGAAAGAGGACAGAAACCCUUAGCAAUCUAGUGAAGAACUCAAAGAUCAGUGAUCCAUUUUUAUUCUCUGUGUGAUCCACGAAGUGGAAAAUGCAAUAUCUUAAUUUGUAGGUUGCCAUAAAAGCACCCUCCAACCUUUAUCCUCAGGCUGGAACAUUAGCAACCUUUUCUUUGAACACACUCGCCACAGCACAGUGAAGGAAAUGAUUAGUAAUCUACCUGCUAAAUGCUCCGACCGUGGCAGCGACAGUUGUACCAAAACAUUAGACUUAUGAGCCGAAAAACCAAAUGCAGGGAAAAACUUCAGCAACCUAGCAGUGUUAAAUAAACAUUUUUGGAAAAAACAACAAAGUGUUCAAUGUUGGACCUGUAAAGAGAGAAUUCAGAGUUUAUGUCUUUAUUUAAUAGCUUUAUCUGAUAUAUUAGAGGUUAGGUUUUGGUUACAAAAAUGCUCCUUAUGACUACAAGUGCAGCAUUAACAUUUUGGAACAGUGGAGAACCAUGACAGCAGUUCCCCAUGGGGAGAAGUUCAUCGCAGCUAUCAGACACGCGCCUCCUGGAACACGGAGCCAAGGAAUGCUGCAUUUGUUGACUGUUAUGACUGUUAAAGCAAGAUGCAUGAAAACACAAGCCAGCAAAGGUUUUAAUGUGGUUAAUAGCUUACAUCACCUUUAGCGGCACCCGUGCUGGGAGGGGAGUGUGGUUGUUGCAAGAGAGUGAGAGAGACAUAAAUGAUGACUGGCAGGAUGGUGGGGGGAGAGCUACAGACUGAGAAGAAAGAAAAAAAAAUCAGGAAUUCAUUAUUUUCCGGUUCGGUCUGCGGAUGGCUGAUAAGGCCGAUCAGAGGAGAAUCUCAUCAGGGUGUUCUGCUUUACGAGCUCACCACCGAACAUUUCCACUGCAGAUCCAUUCGUGUGGCUCAUAGCGACGUGCCGGUUUGAACAGUGCCGGUUUAAUGCAGUUUAAGGAUUCAUUUACACUGAAUUCAAAAUCAGCCGCUGUCAUCUAGAUUGAGAUUGGCUGCGUUAUUGGCUAUACUUCAGAGAACCAGGUGCCCAGGUCGUACAGCCCCCUUUGCACAUUUGUCAAUAUGGUAACAUCAGCCAGAUAAGAUGAAGUCUUAUUAAACCCAAGAUGAUGAGAAUUCCUGCGACAGAUUGAAUCAGCUGUUGCAGCAGCCAGGACAGGGGGACUUGUUAAAAGUUAUGACGCAGCUGUGUCUUAAAAGUACCGACAUUUCGUAAGUACACGCCAUCCUUUAUGGCUUCCUGCUGCAUGUUUUCUUUUCUCACGUUCAGAAGAAGGGGUGG
This is a long non-coding RNA of Takifugu rubripes (torafugu), 2265 nucleotides long. Lineage: Eukaryota; Metazoa; Chordata; Actinopteri; Tetraodontiformes; Tetraodontidae. The record is from Ensembl.